Molecule: ribosomal RNA, 777 nt
Filed under: uncultured fungus
Lineage: Eukaryota; Fungi
Description: eukaryotic LSU rRNA
Rfam family: Eukaryotic small subunit ribosomal RNA (bases 1-241)
Source: RNAcentral
UUGCUCUUCAACGAGGAAUCCCUAGUAAGCGCAAGUCAUCAGCUUGCGUUGAUUACGUCCCUGCCCUUUGUACACACCGCCCGUCGCUACUACCGAUUGAAUGGCUCAGUGAGGCGUCCGGACUGGCCCAGAGAGGUGGGCAACUACCACUCAGGGCCGGAAAGCUCUCCAAACUCGGUCAUUUAGAGGAAGUAAAAGUCGUAACAAGGUCUCCGUUGGUGAACCAGCGGAGGGAUCAUUACCGAGUUUACAACUCCCAAACCCCUGUGAACAUACCUAUCGUUGCUUCGGCGGGAUGCCCCAGUUUUGACUUAAAACUGGACCCAGGCGCCCGCCGGAGGACCCAAACUCUUGUUUUUAUAUGUAUCUUCUGAGUAAACAAGCAAAUAAAUUAAAACUUUCAACAACGGAUCUCUUGGUUCUGGCAUCGAUGAAGAACGCAGCGAAAUGCGAUAAGUAAUGUGAAUUGCAGAAUUCCGUGAAUCAUCGAAUCUUUGAACGCACAUUGCGCCCGCCAGUAUUCUGGCGGGCAUGCCUGUUCGAGCGUCAUUUCAACCCUCAAGCCCCCGGGCUUGGUGUUGGGGCUCGGCCCGUCCCUAGCGGAUGCGCCGUCCCCGAAAUCUAGUGGCGGUCUCGCUGUAGCCUCCUCUGCGUAGUAGCUAACACCUCGCAAUGGGAACGCGGCGCGGCCACGCCGUUAAGCCCCCCACUUCUGAAGGUUGACCUCGGAUCAGGUAGGAAUACCCGCUGAACUUAAGCAUAUCAAUAAGCGGAGGA